GGCAGGGUAGCUCAGUGGUAGAGCAGCGGAUUCAUAAGCCGAAGGUCGGGAGUUCAACUCUCCCCCCUGCUA
Molecule: transfer RNA, 72 nt
Filed under: Chloroflexota bacterium
Lineage: Bacteria; Bacillati; Chloroflexota
Description: Chloroflexi bacterium tRNA-Met
Rfam family: tRNA
About the family: Transfer RNA (tRNA) molecules are approximately 80 nucleotides in length. Their secondary structure includes four short double-helical elements and three loops (D, anti-codon, and T loops). Further hydrogen bonds mediate the characteristic L-shaped molecular structure. tRNAs have two regions of fundamental functional importance: the anti-codon, which is responsible for specific mRNA codon recognition, and the 3' end, to which the tRNAs corresponding amino acid is attached (by aminoacyl-tRNA synthetases). tRNAs cope with the degeneracy of the genetic code in two manners: having more than one tRNA (with a specific anti-codon) for a particular amino acid; and 'wobble' base-pairing, i.e. permitting non-standard base-pairing at the 3rd anti-codon position.
Source: RNAcentral